UAGGACGUGUGGUUCUAUUUUGUUGGUUUCUAGGACCGCCGUAAUGAUUAAUAGGGACAGUCGGGGGCAUCAGUAUUCAAUUGUCAGAGGUGAAAUUCUUGGAUUUAUUGAAGACUAACUACUGCGAAAGCAUUUGCCAAGGAUGUUUUCAUUAAUCAGGAACGAAAGUUAGGGGAUCGAAGACGAUCAGAUACCGUCGUAGUCUUAACCAUAAACUAUGCCGACUAGGGAUCGGACGGUGUUAUAUUUUGACCCGUUCGGCACCUUACGAGAAAUCAAAGUGCUUGGGCUCCAGGGGGAGUAUGGUCGCAAGGCUGAAACUUAAAGAAAUUGACGGAAGGGCACCACCAGGGGUGGAGCCUGCGGCUUAAUUUGACUCAACACGGGGAAACUCACCAGGUCCAGACACAAUGAGGAUUGACAGAUUGAGAGCUCUUUCUUGAUUUUGUGGGUGGUGGUGCAUGGCCGUUCUUAGUUGGUGGAGUGAUUUGUCUGCUUAAUUGCGAUAAC
RNAcentral lists this ribosomal RNA (510 nucleotides) under uncultured Fusarium. RNAcentral describes it as "SSU rRNA". It matches the Rfam family "Eukaryotic small subunit ribosomal RNA", at positions 823 to 1332 of the family's 1831-position model. The record is from RNAcentral. Lineage: Eukaryota; Fungi; Ascomycota; Sordariomycetes; Hypocreales; Nectriaceae.